This is a non-coding RNA of Acanthosepion pharaonis, 104 nucleotides long. Lineage: Eukaryota; Metazoa; Mollusca; Cephalopoda; Sepiida; Sepiidae. The record is from the annotation of a GenBank genome assembly.
AUGGCUAUAUCACAUUGAAACACUGGUUCUCAUACUGAAGUUAAGCAACAUUGAGCCUGGUCAGUACCUAGAUGGGCAACUGCUUGGGAAUAUCAGGCACUGUA